GCUUCCCUGAAGCUCGAGACAUCCGUUCAUGUUCCUGAAGAGCUUCUUCCACCCUCUGAACUGUUGCUCUAGCACUCUCAAUUUCUGCACGAGCAAAAGCUCUGUCCUCAUCAACAAGUUUCUUGGCAUCUUCUGAAGCCUGCUUAAGAAAAUUAGCUAGCUUCUUCACUUCUGCUUUUUCUUGAAUCAACUCUCCUUCC
RNAcentral lists this unclassified non-coding RNA (200 nucleotides) under Hevea brasiliensis (rubber tree). The record is from RNAcentral. Lineage: Eukaryota; Viridiplantae; Streptophyta; Magnoliopsida; Malpighiales; Euphorbiaceae.